RNAcentral lists this long non-coding RNA (352 nucleotides) under Felis catus (domestic cat). RNAcentral describes it as "lncRNA (ENSFCAG00000052330.1)". Lineage: Eukaryota; Metazoa; Chordata; Mammalia; Carnivora; Felidae. The record is from RNAcentral.
GAAAGAAGGCUCCUGGCUAAGAAUUUAUUAGAGUCUGAGGAGAGCCAUAGUCUCUAUCACCCACCCUGUCUGAGCCUCAGUUCACUCACUUGUAUCCAGAAGCCUCAACAGAUAAUUGAAUAAUUAAGUGAAAUCAUCAGCUGUUCGCUGGAGGACACAGCCCUGCCAUCUCCACAGUCCUUCACCAGGCUUUCCCCAGCCCCCAGCUCCAGCCUCAGGAAGUGGAGCUGCUGAGAAUCUCUCCUCCAGCCUCGCCUCCUGCCGAGAGUGUCCUCUGCGUGAGCAUUUCCUGGCCUAAUUAAGCUGGGUAAUGAGUAGCUAAGAGGGAGGGGAUAAAAGCCCUAGGCGGCUU